AGUGAACGCUGGCGGUAGGCCUAACACAUGCAAGUCGAACGGCAGCACAGUAAGAGCUUGCUCUUACGGGUGGCGAGUGGCGGACGGGUGAGGAAUACAUCGGAAUCUACUUUUUCGUGGGGGAUAACGUAGGGAAACUUACGCUAAUACCGCAUACGACCUACGGGUGAAAGCAGGGGAUCUUCGGACCUUGCGCGAUUGAAUGAGCCGAUGUCGGAUUAGCUAGUUGGCGGGGUAAAGGCCCACCAAGGCGACGAUCCGUAGCUGGUCUGAGAGGAUGAUCGGCCACACUGGAACUGAGACACGGACCAGACUCCUACGGGAGGCAGCAGUGGGGAAUAUUGGACAAUGGGCGCAAGCCUGAUCCAGCCAUACCGCGUGGGUGAAGAAGGCCUUCGGGUUGUAAAGCCCUUUUGUUGGGAAAGAAAAGCAGCAGGUUAAGACCCCGCUGUUCUGACGGUACCCAAAGAAUAAGCACCGGCUAACUUCGUG
RNAcentral lists this ribosomal RNA (492 nucleotides) under uncultured bacterium. RNAcentral describes it as "partial 16S ribosomal RNA". It matches the Rfam family "Bacterial small subunit ribosomal RNA", at positions 29 to 507 of the family's 1533-position model. The record is from RNAcentral.